GACAGCCCGUAAACUAAGCAGUCUCUUUGCAACUAAACUGAAGGGCUUGUGCACACAGAACCAGCUUUAAUUAUCUUUUUUUUUUUUUUCAAGUACUUUGGGAAAUAAUCAAAGAAAAAAAUCUAAAUCUAUGUUGCUUUUAAAUGGAUCCCUUGUUGAAGUGUGGGGGUUGACAGCUGUCCCAGAAAAUCAGGGCCACGGUGAAUUAGAAUGAUGUUGACUGAUGUUUGGCUUGGUGUUUCUUCCACGGUAUACCAACUUCCUCGGCAAAACAUAUCACAGGUUGUUGGAUUUCUUCUGGAAAAGGGAGCAGAUAUCACCCUUUGCAAUUACAGCAAUAAAACCGCAGUCCAUGUGGCUAAAAGUGAUGUUCAGAGGCAACUCCUGGCCAUGACUGGAAUCCAGGCUCCCCAAAUGCAACUUCUACGAAGUUCGUGGCAAGGCGAUCUUGAACAACUUCAGCACUUGCUGGUCAGUUAAACUGAUGUUUGCUUCUGCCUUUGGGUAGGUGAGUGGGUGGGGGUGGGGUGAGAAGGGCACAGACUACAUACAACUCCUUUAAAGAAAAAGAAGUUCUUUUCCAGAGCAGUCCAAGAAAGUUUCAGGCAGGAAAUCUGAGAGAAAAAAGGGUCAAAUGGGAGAGUGGGGUGGAAAACAAGAUAAUAAAAGAACAUAGCAGCAGCCUAUUUACA
This 692-nucleotide long non-coding RNA is filed under the name Sus scrofa (pig). Its description in RNAcentral is "lncRNA (ENSSSCG00040039279.1)". The record is from RNAcentral. Lineage: Eukaryota; Metazoa; Chordata; Mammalia; Artiodactyla; Suidae.